UACAGAGGUCUCAAGCGUUGUUCGGAUUCAUUGGGCGUAAAGGGUGCGUAGGCGGUGGUGUAAGUCUAGUGUGAAAUCUCGGAGCUUAACUUCGAAACUGCACUGGAUACUGCUCCGCUAGAGGAUUGUAGAGGAGAUUGGAAUUCACGGUGUAGCAGUGAAAUGCGUAGAUAUCGUGAGGAAGGCCAGUGGCGAAGGCGAAUCUCUGGGCAAUUCCUGACGCUGAGGCACGAAGGCCAGGGGAGCAAACGGG
Molecule: ribosomal RNA, 253 nt
Filed under: uncultured bacterium
Lineage: Bacteria
Description: partial 16S ribosomal RNA
Rfam family: Bacterial small subunit ribosomal RNA
Source: RNAcentral